This 369-nucleotide ribosomal RNA is filed under the name uncultured bacterium. RNAcentral describes it as "bacterial SSU rRNA". It matches the Rfam family "Bacterial small subunit ribosomal RNA", at positions 8 to 350 of the family's 1533-position model. The record is from RNAcentral.
AGAGUUUGAUCCUGGCUCAGGAUGAACGCUAGCUACAGGCUUAACACAUGCAAGUCGAGGGGAAACGACAUCGAAAGCUUGCUUUUGAUGGGCGUCGACCGGCGCACGGGUGAGUAACGCGUAUCCAACCUGCCCACCACUUGGGGAUAACCUUGCGAAAGUAAGACUAAUACCCAAUGACGUCUCUAGAAGACAUCUGAAGGAGAUUAAAGUAUUUAUCGGUGAUGGAGUGGGGAUGCGUCUGAUUAGCUUGGUUGGCGGGGUAACCGGCCCGACCAAGGCGACGAUCAGGUUAGGGUUCGUGGAGGAGGAACGGGUCCCCACGUAUUGGAACUAGGACGACACCGGUCCAACCUCGUAACGGNGGCA